CAAUAUUUCCUUACUAAUGAGAGCAUUUACUUUUCCGUAUUUUCUGGGUCCAAAUUCCAAUUGUUUUUGCGAAUGUGUAAGGAAGUCUUGUGAACAAUAAGUGAAUAAGAGAGUUUGGUUGAUGAAAUUUCUUUGCAUAUUUACACAUUUAAUGGUUACACUCAGGUAUUUGCUAGUUGAGAUUCCUAAAAGGCUUUAGUGGGACUAAUAGUUUUCUUUUCUCUUUUUUCUGUCACAAUGCUAAAUUGAAUCUAUGUUUUGCCAGUGAUCCAGGCCUCUUUUGUGACUUAUUGAAAGCAAUAUUUUUAUGACAUUAAUGUGAAAAUAAAAAUGGUAUCUUCUUUAACGUGCAUGGACAAUUUG
Molecule: unclassified non-coding RNA, 363 nt
Filed under: Hevea brasiliensis (rubber tree)
Lineage: Eukaryota; Viridiplantae; Streptophyta; Magnoliopsida; Malpighiales; Euphorbiaceae
Source: RNAcentral